ACUUUAGACGCAUGGAAGAAAGGAUGAAGGAACUUCCUCUAAAAAUCAGUUGUUCUGCCGUCUUUGACACUCGAAAAGCUUAGUACAAUAUCUUAGGAAUAAAGGAGGGGCCUCUUCAGAUGAAGUCUAUUCCUGGAAGAGUUCUUCUUACAGAGGAAAGUCACAUUUCUGGUAUUUGUUAUUUCAUGGUAAGAAAGGCCCUGAAACAUCUCCUUGUGUUAUUACGGAGGGGAAGAAAGGCUUAAGUGUUCUCAAACCGUGGUUGUAACCUGGCUUCCUUUUGUAGAGAAACGGGGGAGAAAGCUGACAGCUUGUGGCAACUUAAAAAUUAAAGUAGCAGUGUAAAAAAAAAAAAAAAAAAGGGCUGUUAAAAAAAAAAAAAACCCUUUUUUUGGGCCUUUUUUUUUUUUUUUCCCCCCCACCUUGUCUGGAUGGAAGACAGGAGGGAGCAGGCAGCAGAGUCCCAAGAGGGGAAUGGCACGUGGCUGCCCCGGGACAGACGGGUGGCCCUCCUUCCAGAUAACGCUGUGCACACAAAGAAUUUAAGUGGGAUCAAGAGGAGGCUGAAAACUAUUUGGAUGAGAGGUUCCCUGAGUGCCGGCUCAGGAAACUCCUGGAGCUGAAAAUAGUUACAUUUCUCAGAGAGAAGGAACCUUAUCCCAGGGCACGCUCUUUAGUUCCUCCUACGCCUUGAUUCAACUGAUGGACGACCGUUGUGAAAUUUUUCUGUUGCGUGGGGGACAGCGUGGAAAUAACAGCACUGAAGCUUGGGGUAACUGGAUUCAAGCUAUAGAUCUCCGCGGAUGGGAACUGCUCGGGAUAAAGGAUCCAUUGAUUCAUGUGUCACUGGUGACUUCCAUUUAACAGUGACUCUUAUAACUACUUGAGAAGCAGCCAGCAGCAGGUCUUCUGAGCUUUGAGUCUCAUAGUCAUAGUGAGCUUCUAACCUGAUGAACCGAGUGCUCUGGGUAGGAAAGCGAUUUCAGGCACGUACAAAACAUAACACAAAACGUCCUGUAGAAGUGGGAAUGGCAAAGGGAUGUUGCAGCAUCUACGUAGCUGCUUUAGGCCCAAACACACAGUCGGCAGGUUUUUUAAAAGGUAAGGUGAUGAGUGAAUCCACGCACUCCUCCGUACCUAGGAAUACGUGAAUCCAGUCCGUGGGCGCUGCUGCUGCUGCCUCCUCCUGAGCCGAUACAGCAGUCGGGUACCCAGAGGGAAGCGAGGAGUCCAAGGAGAGAAGCAAUUGCUUAGUAUCUUGGGCACUAAUCCAAAGUGGAAGAUUCAAUUGAAUUUUGCAGCAGAUAAUAUAUAUUCCCUGUGUUCAGUUUGUCCUGGAUUGGUCAGAUUUGACUCUUACAGAUUCCCUAGCCGUUGCGGCUUAUUAAAUAGCUUGGCUGAUUCUUGGUAGCUGAGUAUCGUAAGACUUCACAGGUGAAGCAUCCAUAAGCAGGUUGCUAUCAGUGGUUUCUCUGUUGUCUCCCAGUUCAUAUUCCCUCAGGUCUGGAGCUGCCUCCCUGUCCCUUGGUAAAAGGGAGAGGGUGGCAGGAGCAGGAAACGACUGCCGUUUGUGAAAACAGGCCGUACCUCCUGGCGAUUAAUCCUUAACCCAAAAAAUAAAGCUUUCUUUUCGGUAUUUGUCUGUCA
Struthio camelus australis is the source of this 1647-nucleotide long non-coding RNA. The record is from Ensembl. Lineage: Eukaryota; Metazoa; Chordata; Aves; Struthioniformes; Struthionidae.